GGUGUGAUGGCCGAGUGGUUAAGGCGUUGGACUUGAAAUCCAAUGGGGUUUCCCCGCGCAGAUUCAAACCCUGCUCACAGUG
This 82-nucleotide transfer RNA is filed under the name Perca fluviatilis (European perch). It matches the Rfam family "tRNA". From Rfam's summary of the family: Transfer RNA (tRNA) molecules are approximately 80 nucleotides in length. Their secondary structure includes four short double-helical elements and three loops (D, anti-codon, and T loops). The record is from Rfam by way of RNAcentral. Lineage: Eukaryota; Metazoa; Chordata; Actinopteri; Perciformes; Percidae.